GAAUAUUGGAGAAUGGGGGGAACCCUGAUCCAGCCAUGGCGCGGGUGUGAAGAAGGCCUUUUGGUUGUUAAGCACCUUAAGCGAGGAGGAGGAGCUCUUGGGUCAUACCCAAGAUGCCUGGACGCUACUCGCCGGAUCAGCACCGGUCAACGCUGUGCCAGCUGCCGCGGUAAUACAGAGGGUGCAAUCGUUAAUCGGAGUUACUGGGGGUAAAGCGUGCGUAGGUGGCCAAUUAAGUCAAAUGUGAAAUCGCGGAGCUUAACUUGGGGAUUGCAUGCGAUACUGGUUGGCUAGAGUAUGGGAGAGGAUGGUAGAAUUCCAGGUGUAGCGGUGAAAUGCGUAGAGAUCUGGAGGAAUACCGAUGGCGAAGGCAGCCAUCUGGCCUAAUACUGACAAUGAGGUGCGAAAGCAUGGGGAGCAAACA
RNAcentral lists this ribosomal RNA (424 nucleotides) under uncultured bacterium. RNAcentral describes it as "partial 16S ribosomal RNA". It matches the Rfam family "Bacterial small subunit ribosomal RNA", at positions 359 to 774 of the family's 1533-position model. The record is from RNAcentral.